UACGUAGGGGCUAGCGUUAUCCGGAUUUACUGGGCGUAAAGGGUGCGUAGGCGGUCUUUCAAGUCAGGAAUGAAAGGCUACGGCUCAACCGUAGUAAGCUCUUGAAACUGUAAGACUUGAGUGCAGGAGAGGAGAGUGGAAUUCCUAGUGUAGCGGUGAAAUGCGUAGAUAUUAGGAGGAACACCAGUUGCGAAGGCGGCUCUCUGGACUGUAACUGACGCUGAGGCACGAAAGCGUGGGGAGCAAACAGGAUUAGAUACCCUGGUAGU
RNAcentral lists this ribosomal RNA (269 nucleotides) under uncultured prokaryote. Its description in RNAcentral is "partial 16S ribosomal RNA". It matches the Rfam family "Bacterial small subunit ribosomal RNA", at positions 524 to 794 of the family's 1533-position model. The record is from RNAcentral.